GACGAACGCUGGCGGCGUGCUUAACACAUGCAAGUCGAACGGCAAGGCACUGCUUUCGUGGGCUGACCGAGUGGCGAACGCGUGAGUAACACGUAUGUAACCUGACCUUGAUUUUCGGAUAACUUCAGGAAACUGAGGUUACUCCCGGAUAGCAGAUCCUGCUGCAUGGUGGGGGUUGGAACGUCUCGGCGGUCGGGGAUGGACGCGCGGAUUAUCAGCUUGUUGGUGGGGUAGUGGCUUACCAAGGAUUUGACGGGUAGCCGGCCUGGGUGGGUGACCGGCGACAUGGGUACUGAGGUACGGCGCAGUGUCCAACGGGAGGCAGCAGGGGGGAGUAUGGCACAGUGGGCGGGAGCCGGAUGAAGCAGCGUCGCGUGCGGGAUGACGGCCUGCUGGUAGAGAACCGCUGUCGCCUGUUACGAAGCUUUUGUGACGGUAAUGAGUAAAGAAGCACCGGCUAACUACGUG
RNAcentral lists this ribosomal RNA (468 nucleotides) under uncultured bacterium. RNAcentral's name for it is "partial 16S ribosomal RNA". It matches the Rfam family "Bacterial small subunit ribosomal RNA", at positions 28 to 507 of the family's 1533-position model. The record is from RNAcentral.